CCAAUAGCGUAUAUUAAAGUUGUUGCAGUUAAAAAGCUCGUAGUUGAAUUUCGAGACCGGUUUAUUGGUCGUGCUUUUGUACGUACUGGUAUUAUUGGUUUCUCCUUUCUGACGAAUCAUAAUGCCAUUAAUUUGGUGUUUUGGGGAAUCAGGACUGUUACUUUGAAAAGAUUAGAGUGUUUAAAGCAGGCUCACGCUUGAAUACAUUAGCAUGGAAUAACGAAAUAGGACGUUUGAUUUUAUUUUGUUGGUUUCUAGGAUCGACGUAAUGAUUAAUAGGGAUAGUUGGGGGCAUUAGUAUUCAAUUGUCAGAGGUGAAAUUCUUGGAUUUAUUGAAGACUAACUACUGCGAAAGCAUUUGCCAAGGAUGUUUUCAUUAAUCAAGAACGAAAGUUAGGGGAUCGAAGACGAUCAGAUACCGUCGUAGUCUUAACCAUAAACUAUGCCGACUAGGGAUCGGAUGAUGUUAAUUUUUUAAUGACUCAUUCGGCGCCUUACG
Molecule: ribosomal RNA, 499 nt
Filed under: uncultured Glomeromycotina
Lineage: Eukaryota; Fungi; Glomeromycota
Description: partial small subunit ribosomal RNA
Rfam family: Eukaryotic small subunit ribosomal RNA
Source: RNAcentral